UAUAAAUAGCUGCUAAGCAGCUGGUCCUCCUCUCACCUCCUGACUCUGUCAGAAUCCCCCACCAGAAGCCCCUGACAGUCAUGCAGCUGGGAGCUCCCCCUUUCUCUUCUUUUCUCCUCUCCACUCUCUACCUCUGACAUGUGGCCGCCAUCUCAACAAUGUCCACUGAAACCACCCAAGGACUGACUUCCAUGGGAGAAGGGGUCAAGCAGGCUGAGAGCUGGAUCUGACCACUGAAGCAAGCUGUCACCCAAAACACAAUGAAAAGAAAAACAACCUGAGGGAUCCAAUAUUUAAUAUGAAGCAACUAAGGAUUACAAACCAGGAGCUGGCUUCUUUAUGCAGUGUUUGAGUCCUUGCUGAUGUCCUUGGACCAGUAGAUCAACUCCUAACAUUAAAGACUGACAAAAUCCAAAUGCUGGACAACAAUUCCAUUGGUGGGCCAGGAAAAGAGGGGCUGGCGGAGUGCAAAAUGGCAGACUCCAGAGAUAGGUAUUGACAGUGACCUUCAAAAUAACAACACAUCUACCAGAUCUCCAUUUUCAGCUGUGAUGGAGGAAGAGAAACUGGAUUUACUAUCUCUUGGGUCUUCACCUAAAGACUCUCCUGAUCCAUGAGUUGGUCUCAGUUCUGGGUGCCUCUCCUGGUAGAAUCAUCUUUACAGAUUGUAGUUUUUUUUUUAAAGACUCAUUUUCCACACAGCAGGCCCCCAAAACUCCAACCCACUACUUCAUUUAGUGUACAACUUAAGAAAUAACUAUUGCAUUGACUCUGAAGUCAAACUUGGCAGCAUUGGACUCAAUGACAGAUGUGCUUGUCACCAGCAUGGUGACUUCCUAAGAGAUUUUCAGAGACUAUGUUGACCUUCUGCUAUUUUCACCUGCUUUAGACUUCAGCUCUGUGCAAAAUACAGAUCAAAUGAAAUGGCAAGAGUACUCGAUGUUGAGUCAGGAGACUUACUGUAGGCUUUGGUCUGUCACGUAGUCUCUCUGGGUUUGUUCUCGUAUUUAUAAAAUGGAGUUGCCCGACUAUGUGAUCUCUAAAACCCCCUUAGUUCUAGAAUUCUAUAAAAAUUUCUGAUAAGAAUACAUCACAGUCACAAAGAAUUAACAAUGCUCCAAGUUAAGGCAUAAUUACACUGGCUCUAAAAUAUAUAGUUAUGCUACUUAAUGUUACAAUGAGAUUUAAUUAACUCUCCUUUCCUACUGCCAGAGCCAUAGUGGAACAAUUGUCUCUGCAAGUCAUACAGAGCAUUGGUGCCUUGGCUGGGUACUCUGGAUCCUAAUUUAUUCUCAUAGCAGCAGGCAAUCACCUUGGAAAGCAGCGAUGUUUGCUUUGCUGGUGAAGGGGGCAGGCAGUUGCACAGAAAAUCUACUUCCACUCUCCCCUAGCAGCCCCAGAACCCUCCCAGAAGAGCUGUGGCACCAGGUGCCAGCUAAGGACUGCGAGAAGGAUUUAGCCCAAUGGAUAAAGUGUGUUCCUCCGGCUGCCUCAGACAGGUGGGUCCAUCUGAAGCAAAUGUUAUGAAAUGGACUUUUUCAUAUAGCCUCGUUGAAAUACCCAAUGCCCCUAGGCCCCUGUAGCCAACAGGGAACUGUCCGACUUACCCAUGAUUUUACUCAUCUUUCAGCUGGAGCAGACCUUCAAACAUAAACCCAAGUCAUCCAGGGCACGGAGUGGAUUUGUGGAGGCUCCCUGGAGGCUGUUGGCUCCAAAUCCCAGGAAUGUGUUAUAUGAAAAAAUAAAUGCCUUUUUUU
Molecule: long non-coding RNA, 1757 nt
Organism: Cebus imitator (Panamanian white-faced capuchin)
Lineage: Eukaryota; Metazoa; Chordata; Mammalia; Primates; Cebidae
Exons: 3
Source: RefSeq, a predicted model, not a curated record